RNAcentral lists this non-coding RNA (30 nucleotides) under Mus musculus (house mouse). Lineage: Eukaryota; Metazoa; Chordata; Mammalia; Rodentia; Muridae. The record is from RNAcentral.
UGACUUAUGAAACCCAAAAUAUUUGCUGCC